This 432-nucleotide ribosomal RNA is filed under the name uncultured bacterium. RNAcentral describes it as "partial 16S ribosomal RNA". It matches the Rfam family "Bacterial small subunit ribosomal RNA", at positions 29 to 507 of the family's 1533-position model. The record is from RNAcentral.
ACGCACGCUGGCGGCAUGCCUAACCCCUGCAAGUCGCACGCGACCUUCGGGUCUAGUGGCGCACGGGUGCGUAACGCGUGGGAACCUGCCCUUAGGUUCGGAAUAACUCCCCGAAAGGGGUGCUAAUACCGGAUAAUGUCUUCGGACCAAAGAUUUAUCGCCUUUGGAUGGGCCCGCGUUGGAUUAGCUAGUUGGUAGGGUAAAAGCCUACCAAGGCGACGAUCCAUAGCUGGUCUGAGAGGAUGAUCAGCCACACUGGGACUGAGACACGGCCCAGACUCCUACGGGAGGCAGCAGUGGGGAAUAUUGGACAAUGGGCGAAAGCCUGAUCCAGCAAUGCCGCGUGAGUGAUGAAGGCCUUAGGGUUGUAAAGCUCUUUUACCCGGGAUGAUAAUGACAGUACCGGGAGAAUAAGCUCCGGCUAACUCCGUG